UUGUCAUGGGACCUGACUGGGAC
RNAcentral lists this non-coding RNA (23 nucleotides) under Rattus norvegicus (Norway rat). The record is from RNAcentral. Lineage: Eukaryota; Metazoa; Chordata; Mammalia; Rodentia; Muridae.